RNAcentral lists this ribosomal RNA (301 nucleotides) under uncultured bacterium. Its description in RNAcentral is "partial 16S ribosomal RNA". It matches the Rfam family "Bacterial small subunit ribosomal RNA", at positions 509 to 807 of the family's 1533-position model. The record is from RNAcentral.
CAGUAGCCACGGUAAUCCGUAGGUGGCAAGCGUUGUCCGGAAUUAUUGGGCGUAAAGGGCUCGCAGGCGGUUUCUUAAGUCUGAUGUGAAAGCCCCCGGCUCAACCGGGGAGGGUCAUUGGAAACUGGGAAACUUGAGUGCAGAAGAGGAGAGUGGAAUUCCACGUGUAGCGGUGAAAUGCGUAGAGAUGUGGAGGAACACCAGUGGCGAAGGCGACUCUCUGGUCUGUAACUGACGCUGAGGAGCGAAAGCGUGGGGAGCGAACAGGAUUAGAUACCCCUGUAGUCCCUGUCUCUUAUAC